RNAcentral lists this ribosomal RNA (464 nucleotides) under uncultured bacterium. RNAcentral's name for it is "partial 16S ribosomal RNA". It matches the Rfam family "Bacterial small subunit ribosomal RNA", at positions 339 to 795 of the family's 1533-position model. The record is from RNAcentral.
CUACGGGGGGCUGCAGUGGGGAAUAUUGCACAAUGGGCGCAAGCCUGAUGCAGCCAUGCCGCGUGUAUGAAGAAGGCCUUCGGGUUGUAAAGUACUUUCAGUCGUGAGGAAGGUGGUGCAGUGAAUAGCUGCAUUAUUUGACGUUAGCGACAGAAGAAGCACCGGCUAACUCCGUGCCAGCAGCCGCGGUAAUACGGAGGGUGCGAGCGUUAAUCGGAAUUACUGGGCGUAAAGCGCAUGCAGGUGGUUUGUUAAGUCAGAUGUGAAAGCCCGAGGCUCAACCUCGGAAGGUCAUUUGAAACUGGCAGGCUAGAGUACUGUAGAGGGGGGUAGAAUUUCAGGUGUAGCGGUGAAAUGCGUAGAGAUCUGAAGGAAUACCGGUGGCGAAGGCGGCCCCCUGGACAGAUACUGACACUCAGAUGCGAAAGCGUGGGGAGCAAACAGGAUUAGAUACCCUCGUAGUC